This 290-nucleotide ribosomal RNA is filed under the name Porphyromonas gulae. RNAcentral's name for it is "partial 16S ribosomal RNA". It matches the Rfam family "Bacterial small subunit ribosomal RNA", at positions 191 to 481 of the family's 1533-position model. The record is from RNAcentral. Lineage: Bacteria; Pseudomonadati; Bacteroidota; Bacteroidia; Bacteroidales; Porphyromonadaceae.
UAUCGGGCAAGGAAAUAUUUAUAGCUGUAAGAUAGGCAUGCGUCCCAUUAGCUGGUUGGUGAGGUAACGGCUCACCAAGGCAACGAUGGGUAGGGGAACUGAGAGGUUUAUCCCCCACACUGGUACUGAGACACGGACCAGACUCCUACGGGAGGCAGCAGUGAGGAAUAUUGGUCAAUGGGCGAGAGCCUGAACCAGCCAAGUCGCGUGAAGGAAGACUGUCCUAAGGAUUGUAAACUUCUUUUAUACGGGAAUAACGGGCGAUACGCGUAUUGCUGUGAAUGUACCGA